Molecule: unclassified non-coding RNA, 2267 nt
Filed under: Pogonomyrmex barbatus (red harvester ant)
Lineage: Eukaryota; Metazoa; Arthropoda; Insecta; Hymenoptera; Formicidae
Description: protein RUFY3, transcript variant X4
Source: RNAcentral
ACAUGGCCGCGGAGAGUGGUGACGGUUUGCCAAUAUCCCCGUCCGAGAAAUCUCUUACUGGUAGCCUCGCGUCCGACGAAAAUGAGAAAAGUGUCUCACGUUCACCGUCAAGUUAUUCCAUACGGGAGGACAAAUGGCCUGACCUUGUCGUGUCUAGACCCAGAAAGCUGGAUGCCUGGUGGUUGCCGAGACGAAUCCCUGACUGGCUUGAAACUGCGACCGCCGGGUGAUCACGGUGGUGUACAUCACGGCGGGGUCAUGCUGGAAGAAGAUAUGGCUGGUGCCCAGGACACAAUAUAUUUGUGUAAUUUUCGAGUGUCGGUAGAUGGCGAAUGGCUCUGUUUGAAAGAACUCCAGGAUGUCGAGUUCUCACUCCAAGAUUCGAUGCAGCGAUCGCCUUCACCGCCGCUUGCUCUCAGUGCACGAGAUCCGGUGAUCAUCGAAAGAAGUAAUCUCGUUAACAUUUCGAAACUAAUCGUCAAGGAGUUGAUUGAAACAUCUUUAAAAUAUGGUCGUAUGCUCGAUUCUGAUCAUAUGCCGUUGCAACAUUUCUUCAUCGUUCUUGAACAUGUACUUAGACAUGGUUUACGACCGAAGAAGGGUCUUCUCGGACCCAAAAAGGAAUUGUGGGAUAUUCUUCAGCUCGUAGAAAAAUAUUGUCCUGAAGCUCAAGAUAUUACGUCCAGCAUUCGUGAUUUACCUACUGUUAGGACGGCUAUGGGUAGGGCACGCGCUUGGUUGCGUAUGGCGUUGAUGCAAAAAAAAUUAGCAGAUUAUCUCAAAGUUCUGAUAGAUCACAAAGAUGAUAUUUUGUCUGAAUAUUUUGAACCAGAUGCUUUGAUGAUGAGCGAAGAGGCAAUUGUAGUGAUGGGUUUGUUAGUGGGAUUAAAUGUGAUCGAUUGCAACUUCUGUGUAAAGGAAGAAGACCUCGAUUGUCAACAGGGCGUAAUUGAUUUUUCAUUAUAUCUGCGUAACAGUAAUCAUAUACCUGGUGAAUCACCAGACGAUGAACUCGAAAACGAUAACAUGACGACGGUGCUUGAUCAAAAGAAUUAUAUCGAGGAGCUCAAUCGACAUUUAAAUGCAACGGUAACGAACCUUCAAGCUAAAGUAGAAUCUCUGACAACAACGAACGCUCUUAUGAAAGAGGAUCUUGCUAUUGCUAAGAACAAUAUUUUAUCGCUUCAAGAAGAGAACAGACAACUAAAAAAAGAACUUGGUAUAGAAGUUAAAGACGCAAACGAGAACGGGAAGGUACCUCUUAAAAUAACAGAAACUACCGCUGAAAUGGAAGAACUUAGAAGCAGAAUAGAAUCUGAAAAGAAAUCUCGACAAGACUUAGAGAAAGAACUAGAAUUGCAGAUUAGCAUGAAAUCCGAAAUGGAAGUAGCUAUGAAGUUGUUAGAAAAGGAUAUACAUGAAAAACAGGAUACUAUAAUAUCUUUAAGGCGACAACUGGAGGAUAUCAAAUUAAUCAACUUGGAAAUGUACAAAAAGCUGCAGGAAUGCGAAGGCUCUCUUAAACAUAAGACAGAACUGAUUACAAAACUGGAAGCUAAAACACUAUCGAUGAGCGAGACCAUCCAGAAAAUGGAUGAAAAGUGCAAGGAGAUGGAUGGUGUCAGAUCGGGGGUAGAGGAGAGGGUGAGGAUUCUGGAUGCCGAGGCCGCUGAGCGGGAAGCGCGGACGAAUGGGGUCGAGAGGGAAUUGCGACUUGAACGCGAGUGGAGAACCUCCUUGCAGGAAACAUCGAUCUGUAACACGGAGAAGAUCUCUCAAUUACAUCAGGAAAUCGAUCAGCUGAAACGGGUGUCUGAGAGGUACUUGAUGCUGCAGGAAGAGUAUUAUGCUCUAAAGGAGAUAUGCAGCGAGCAGGAACGAACUCUGGAGGAACUUGGAGGACAAUUGAGCGCGGCCAAAUUAGCGGCGGUCGAACUGCGCGAGGCCGCUGACAACGCUCAGCAGCAGCAACAGCAGUCGGCACUGCAAGAGGGCUCGGUAACCUGGACGAAUGAUCGGAUGGUCACCCAAUGCAAGGGAUGCAGCCGUGAGUUCAACAUGACUCGUCGCAAGCACGAAUCACGCAUGCCGGCACGAUAUGAGCGCUUAAAGUAUUCGCGCGGAGAUCUUGAUCGUUCCGUUCGUUGCAGUUGCGUGCAUCGAUAAGGGAAGAGCGCCAACUACGGCGAGAGCGUAUUCGUGCAUUCGUCAUACAGCAUCAUUGUCGCAAUUGUGGUAACAUUUUCUGUAAUGCCUGCAGUGACAAU